Long non-coding RNA from Harpia harpyja (harpy eagle), 2090 nucleotides. RefSeq lists it as uncharacterized. Lineage: Eukaryota; Metazoa; Chordata; Aves; Accipitriformes; Accipitridae. The transcript is spliced from 4 exons. The record is from RefSeq and is a predicted model, not a curated record.
CUGGAAAUGAAACUCUGCCUUUUCCAGCGUGCGCCUGCCAUGAAGUCUUUUUUUUUUUUGGUGCUGAUUGAAAUCAUCUGUUUUCGGUUCUCUGACAAAUUAAUUGAACUUUCCUCUGACUCAGGGGCCUUCUGACUUUUGAAGCAGGUUUUGUCUACAUGCCGUCUCCCAGAUGAACACAAUUUAAUUUUCUAGGCUUUAAAUGAACUUUAUGUUUCCAGAAAGCCAAUGAAAGAAGCAUUUGUUCUGGUACCUGAACGUUGCUGCCUGUGAUCGUCCCCUGGGUAUAUCCAGGAUUUGAAAAGUGACUCGAUGCAGUAAAGACAAGGCUAUGCCAGGCUUGGAGACUGAUGAAGGAGCACUGAAGGUGCAUACUGUUUGCCAUGCUCAGCCAAGUCUGGAGAGAAAUCUGUGCGGGGCAGCUUUGGCGAAAGCACAAGAGCAGACAUCUGGGCGUGGAGCCACACCAUCUGAAGCGUGCAACAACAAAGUCCUUGAUGAUAACCAAGUUCCGGCCAGGAGCAGAAGCAGAAGUAAUAAAACACCACAAGAAAAGCUAUUCUUGUGAUAUUUCCGGUGCUACUGGAUGCAGCACCAACAGGAAAUCUCAUGAGAAAGACUGUUCCUUCACAGUUUCCAGGCCCACUUUGGAAACCCAAGUGACUUGGUUGAAAUAAACAGCAAAUAAGCUUCAGUCAGCUGUGGUGAAUAAAACUCCUUCUCCCAGCAUUUCUGGUCCAGUCCUCCUUACUCCCAAGGUGCACAAGCCUCCUGACAGAUGGUGAUCACAGAGAAGACAGUUCUUCAUGGUCGGCUCAAAAUAGUCUGAACGUGCAUUUCCACCCAGUUAUCUAACGUGAAAUGAAGACACCUGCAGAUAUAUAGCCCUCUCUCUUCUAAAAUGCACCAGUCUUACUUGAGAGCCCACCGUGCUUCAGGAUUGCAGCCUCACUACCUCCACAUGUAAGCGUCUGGCGGUGAUGAUUUGCAGCAAGGAGGCUGUCCCCCUCCCACUUCAGCCCGCAUGCGUGUGCUCCAGGAGGAUUCCCAGUCUCCCAAGGGGCUGAGGUGGUGGAGAGGGAAAAGAGCUCAGAAAAAAAGGGGAAAAACUGGCAGUCUCACAGCCAGCUGAUGCAGGAGCAGCCCACAGAAACCAUCGCAACAUACACAAUAAAAAACCACUAGCCUUAGGAGCAUUCAUAUGAUUCUCAUCUUUCCUUUCCUGCUAUUCCCCCCCACCCCUUGCUGCUUUUGUGUAUUAUGUACUGUAAGCAGGGUGGGGAAGGAGCUGUGCGUAUUCAUUCAGUUUGCCUAAAAUGUUAGGUUUCGGGUGAUAAUUCAGUCAGUUUGGCCACGUGCUUGGAACGUUUAAUACCGUUUUCUAAGUCCAAGAAUUACCAUCUAGGGAUCAGUCCUCAGCCCACAGAAAAGGGCUCUUUCCUUUGACUUCACAGGGCAGCGGAUCAGGCCCACCGUGAUCUGCAGAUCUUAAAACUUCCCUGAAAUGUUUUGCAGAAGCUCUGCCGUUCAGCUUGCUGAUGGACACACGUGCUGUCAAAGAUGAUGACUCAGAUGUAAACCCUUCCUGAAGUGUCGCUCUCAAGAAUAAAUGCCUUCCCUCUCGGUAACUGAUACAGUAUUUCUGGCUCUCCAGCUGUAAUACCAGAUUGCAUUUGCAGUGUCACUUUGGCAGUUAAAAAACCUUGUCAUAGUCAUCUGCUUCAACACCAAGCGUCUAGUCCAGCUGACUGUGGGCCUCUCUGUUUUCCUCACAUGCAGCCAGGAUGCAGGUUUCUAGUGAUGUUUGAUACUCGGGACAUUUGGAGAUGGAAUGUAACCACUUAAAACUGUUUGGUUUGUCACUUUUGGAUUUGCUACAUAAGGCUCUGUUAAUACAAACGGGCCUGUUUAUAAUAUUCAUCAGACAGUGGAAGAAAUUCCUCUGAUGUCUGUAUAAUGCAGUGAGCAGACUCCUUGAUUAUUAACAUACUGAUCGUGUACUCUUAUUUCAGAUGUUAGCUCAGCACUGGGGAAAGAGAGCUGGGGGAAUAAAAAAUGCAAGACGCAUGACAUGCUUGGGAUUUGGUCUG